Molecule: ribosomal RNA, 497 nt
Filed under: uncultured bacterium
Lineage: Bacteria
Description: partial 16S ribosomal RNA
Rfam family: Bacterial small subunit ribosomal RNA
Source: RNAcentral
GAUGAACGCUGGCGGCGUGCCUAAUACAUGCAAGUCGAGCGAACAGACGAGGAGCUUGCUCCUCUGACGUUAGCGGCGGACGGGAGAGUAACACGUGGAUAACCUACCUAUAGGACUGGGAUAACUUCGGGAAACCGGAGCUAAUACCGGAUAAUAUAUUGAACCGCAUGGUUCAAUAGUGAAAGACGGUUUUGCUGUCACUUAUAGAUGGAUCCGCGCCGCAUUAGCUAGUUGGUAAGGUAACGGCUUACCAAGGCAACGAUGCGUAGCCGACCUGAGAGGGUGAUCGGCCACACUGGAACUGAGACACGGUCCAGACUCCUACGGGAGGCAGCAGUAGGGAAUCUUCCGCAAUGGGCGAAAGCCUGACGGAGCAACGCCGCGUGAGUGAUGAAGGUCUUCGGAUCGUAAAACUCUGUUAUUAGGGAAGAACAAAUGUGUAAGUAACUAUGCACGUCUUGACGGUACCUAAUCAGAAAGCCACGGCUAACUACGUG